UACUAUAGCUUGACACUGAACAUUGAGCCUUGAUGUGUAGGAUAGGUGGGAGGCUUUGAAGUGUGGACGCCAGUCUGCAUGGAGCCGACCUUGAAAUACCACCCUUUAAUGUUUGAUGUUCUAACGUUGACCCGUAAUCCGGGUUGCGGACAGUGUCUGGUGGGUAGUUUGACUGGGGCGGUCUCCUCCUAAAGAGUAACGGAGGAGCACGAAGGUUGGCUAAUCCUGGUCGGACAUCAGGAGGUUAGUGCAAUGGCAUAAGCCAGCUUGACUGCGAGCGUGACGGCGCGAGCAGGUGCGAAAGCAGGUCAUAGUGAUCCGGUGGUUCUGAAUGGAAGGGCCAUCGCUCAACGGAUAAAAGGUACUCCGGGGAUAACAGGCUGAUACCGCCCAAGAGUUCAUAUCGACGGCGGUGUUUGGCACCUCGAUGUCGGCUCAUCACAUCCUGGGGCUGAAGUAGGUCCCAAGGGUAUGGCUGUUCGCCAUUUAAAGUGGUACGCGAGCUGGGUUUAGAACGUCGUGAGACAGUUCGGUCCCUAUCUGCCGUGGGCGCUGGAGAAUUGAGGGGGGCUGCUCCUAGUACGAGAGGACCGGAGUGGACGCAUCACUGGUGUUCGGGUUGUCAUGCCAAUGGCACUGCCCGGUAGCUAAAUGCGGAAGAGAUAAGUGCUGAAAGCAUCUAAGCACGAAACUUGCCCCGAGAUGAGUUCUCCCUGACUCCUUGAGAGUCCUGAAGGAACGUUGAAGACGACGACGUUGAUAGGCCGGGUGUGUAAGCGCAGCGAUGCGUUGAGCUAACCGGUACUAAUGAACCGUGAGGCUUAACCUUACAACGCCGAAGGUGUUU
RNAcentral lists this ribosomal RNA (847 nucleotides) under Escherichia coli. RNAcentral's name for it is "partial 23S ribosomal RNA". It matches the Rfam family "Bacterial large subunit ribosomal RNA", at positions 2102 to 2925 of the family's 2925-position model. Lineage: Bacteria; Pseudomonadati; Pseudomonadota; Gammaproteobacteria; Enterobacterales; Enterobacteriaceae. The record is from RNAcentral.